ACUAGUGCCGCCUUCUUGGCGUA
RNAcentral lists this small nuclear RNA (23 nucleotides) under Arabidopsis thaliana (thale cress). Its description in RNAcentral is "snRNA_18308". Lineage: Eukaryota; Viridiplantae; Streptophyta; Magnoliopsida; Brassicales; Brassicaceae. The record is from RNAcentral.